Molecule: ribosomal RNA, 508 nt
Filed under: uncultured bacterium
Lineage: Bacteria
Description: bacterial SSU rRNA
Rfam family: Bacterial small subunit ribosomal RNA
Source: RNAcentral
AUAAACGCUGGCGGCGCACAUAAGACAUGCAAGUCGAACGGAAGUCGUUUUAAUGAGUUUGAAAUGAAAGAUUUAUCCGGAAUUGAUGAUGAUUUAAACAAUGGCUUUAGUGGCGGACUGGUGAGUAACACGUAAGCAACCUGCCUGUUAGAGGGGAAUAACAACGAGAAAUCGUUGCUAAUACCGCAUAUGCCAUAUGAACCACAUGGUUCAAGUGGGAAAGGAGUAAUCCGCUAACAGAUGGGCUUGCGUCUGAUUAGAUAGUUGGUGGGGUAACGGCCUACCAAGUCGACGAUCAGUAGCCGGACUGAGAGGUUCAACGGCCACAUUGGGACUGAGAUACGGCCCAGACUCCUACGGGAGGCAGCAGUCGGGAAUAUUGCGCAAUGGAGGAAACUCUGACGCAGUGACGCCGCGUAUAGGAAGAAGGUUUUCGGAUCGUAAACUUCUAUCAACAGGGAAGAAACAAAUGACGGUACCUGAAUAAGAAGCCCCGGCUAACUACGUG